This 361-nucleotide ribosomal RNA is filed under the name uncultured bacterium. RNAcentral's name for it is "bacterial SSU rRNA". It matches the Rfam family "Bacterial small subunit ribosomal RNA", at positions 29 to 416 of the family's 1533-position model. The record is from RNAcentral.
AGCGAACGCUGGCGGCAGGCCUAAUACAUGCAAGUCGAACGGCUUCUUCGGAAGCAGUGGCGGACGGGUGAGUAACGCGUGGGAACGUGCCCUUUGGUUCGGAACAACACAGGGAAACUUGUGCUAAUACCGAAUGUGCCCUUCGGGGAAAGGAUUUAUCGCCAUUGGAGCGGCCCGCGUUGGAUUAGCUAGUUGGUGGGGUAAAAGCUCACCAAGGCUACGAUCCAUAGCUGGUCUGAGAGGAUGAUCAGCCACACUGGGACUGAGACACGGCCCAGACUCCUACGGGAGGCAGCAGGUAGGGAAUCUUGCGCAAUGGGCGAAAGCCUGACGCAGCCAUGCCGCGUGAGGGAUGACGGCC